CAAUAGCGUAUAUUAAAGUUGUUGCGGUUAAAAAGCUCGUAGUUGGAUUUCUGCUGAGAACGACCGGUCCGCCCUUUGGGUGUGUAUCUGGCUCUUUCUUGGCAUCUUCUUGGUGAACGUUGCUGCACUUGACUGUGUGGAGCGCUACCCAGGACUUUUACUUUGAGGAAAUUAGAGUGUUUCAAGCAGGCAUACGCCUUGAAUACAUUAGCAUGGAAUAAUAAGAUAGGACCUCGGUUCUAUUUUGUUGGUUUCUAGAGCUGAGGUAAUGAUUAAUAGGGAUAGUUGGGGGCAUUCGUAUUUAACUGUCAGAGGUGAAAUUCUUGGAUUUGUUAAAGACGAACUACUGCGAAAGCAUUUGCCAGGGAUGUUUUCAUUAA
Molecule: ribosomal RNA, 380 nt
Filed under: uncultured eukaryote
Lineage: Eukaryota
Description: partial 18S ribosomal RNA
Rfam family: Eukaryotic small subunit ribosomal RNA
Source: RNAcentral